UUUCCGUAGGUGAACCUGCGGAAGGAUCAUUAACGUGCAAUCCUGCAAACCAAACAAAAACUUAAACGACUGUGAACUUGAAACCCCUUAUACUGUAUGUGAUUAAUGAGUGUGAAAACACUUGUUAAUUGCACACAAUCAACCACAUUCACCUUUAACCCAACAUUCAUUCUAAAACCCUUUAUGUUUCAUUCGUGAAAUGUAAAUAUAUAAAUUGACGACUUUCAACGGUGGAUCUCUAGGCUCGU
Molecule: unclassified non-coding RNA, 248 nt
Filed under: soil metagenome
Description: partial contains small subunit ribosomal RNA, internal transcribed spacer 1, and 5.8S ribosomal RNA
Source: RNAcentral